This is an RNA transcript of Coffea arabica (coffee), 1892 nucleotides long. RefSeq lists it as uncharacterized. The record is from RefSeq and is a predicted model, not a curated record. NCBI's taxonomy places the organism in Eukaryota, Viridiplantae, Streptophyta, Magnoliopsida, Gentianales, Rubiaceae.
UCGUUGCGAAAUGCCCACCCAACGCCGUCGGCAUGUGCAUUUGCAAUCAAAACGUGAAAUUUAAAUAAAACUUUAUUUAUUUAUUUAUUUUUUGGGGGCAGAAGUAGAGUGCAUAUUAAUCACACGUAGCGGCCGGCGGGGAAAGGAAGAACUCAAUAGUGGGAUUGCGAAGAGAGAAUAAGCCCCUUACCAGUUACCCAGUUAUGAGUUGCCGGGGGCCGGAUUUGCAAACCAACUCGCUUGCUUAUACUUACUUCUAGUAAUAGUCAAUAAUCAAUAAUCAAUCUGGGUGGUGGUGGUGGUGGUGGUGGUACUGGGCUUCUUGUGUGCGUCGUCAGACGGACGAUCAUCCCUCCCAUCAUUAUCCAUUCCUUCCCAAGAUCUAACCCUUCCGUCUUCGUCCGAUAUGGCUGCCAAUGUCAACCCCAAUCCCACUCCUGAGGCCAAUGCCGUUGCUAUCCCCGAGAUCGGACCCGAUGGCCUCCGUCGAGAAUCUCCUGUCAUUGCCUACACCGAGCAGAAAAUCGAGGAAGAGCAGCUUCAAUUGCAAAAGUACAUUCAGGAAAACUAUUCCAAGAUUCGUGAUGUUGAACGAGAAUUGGCAAAUCUUUCCAUGGAGAUGAAACUUACAUCUGGCCCAAAAAAAGCAGCUCUUGAGCACAUGAGAAAGAAGAUAGAAAUCUCGAAUGAGAAAAUUCGUCUUGCUAGGCAAAAGGAGGAACUUGCAAGAAAGGCUUGGGAAGAAGCAUCAAAGGCAGUAAAAGAUGAGGAAGCAUUUAAGCAGAAGCUUUGCGAAGAUUUGAAUAACCUGGUACAAGAGAGUAGUAAUGCUCAAUUAGCUAGACUAGAGGAAUUGAAAAGGCGGCUGGAAGCUCUGAAUCCUAGCAGAUCAUCCGCAUCUGUCCCAAUUGAUGGUGUUCCAUUGGAACAUUCACCCAGCAAUAGAACUCAAGAUGCUGCCUUAGGUACAGCUAGUGUGCAAGUAGCUAAUGGAUCUUCUGGACAGAUAUCUAGUCAAGGUAAUGCAGGACAUGGUCCAAUAACAAAUGGAAACCAAGGGCUUCCUGCAUACAAUGAAGGUAGAGGGAAGAAAAAAACUGUGCUACAAGGGAGGGGAAAGGGAAUUGGAGCAGUACCCAAGGGUAGAGGUUCUGCAGCACCUGGGUGGACUGGGGCGGGUUUUGAUGUUGAUGGUAGAAGUUGAGACCAGGAUUUCAUGUAUCUUUUUAGUGAUCAGUAUAGAGAGACUAGCUGACUUUCAAUCAGCGCAUGAUGGGAUCUUCUGCUGCCUCUGUGCUUGUAGUAUCGUUUCAUGUGCUAACUUGAUGCAAUGAAAUGUUUUGGCGUGAUGAGCCUGACCACCCGCAGGAGGCAGAGGAAGCUAAUUAUAUCCUCUGAUCUAACCCUCUGCAUAAACUCAUUUUCUAGUAAGAGGAUAAGUCGGGCCUCGGGGAGACAUAUACUGGAGUGCGUUAUUAUGUCCUGCAGUCGGUAAUAAUUUCAGACAGACAUGGUAGUAUUAUAUGCAGCUGCGUGAUGGCAACAGCGUCAAGUGGUUGAAGAACCUUAAUACUGACAGGCUGUAUGACCUCCACGUUUUAACAGACCGUUGAUUACUUGGAAAAGUCUCUGUGAGGUUUCAAAAUUUCGCACUGCUCCGACUGGCUGCACCUAAGUUCACUUGAGUUCAGAUAAUUAUGUGAGCACAAAUGACAAUUUUAGUUACCAUUCACCUUCUUGUUUGCACAUACAUCUGCAACUACCUGAGUGCCAGUACAGGGAAGAUUUCUACACAUUAACUGUGAGAAAAUAGUAAUGCAAACAGAUUUCUAUGGAUCCCUUCCCCUCAAAAUAAAGAACUCUUGUGCUCAUAGUGUCGAGCAGCAAGCAUC